GACGAACGCUGGCGGCGUGCUUAACACAUGCAAGUCGAACGGUGAAGCUCCAGCUUGCUGGAGUGGAUCAGUGGCGAACGGGUGAGUAACACGUGAGCAACCUGCCCCUGACUCUGGAAUAAGCGCUGGAAACGGCGUCUAAUACUGGAUACGAGAAGGGUCCGCAUGGGCACUUUCUGGAAAGUUUUUCGGUUGGGGAUGGGCUCGCGGCCUAUCAGCUUGUUGAUGAGGUAAUGGCUCACCAAGGCGACGACGGGUAGCCGGCCUGAGAGGGCGACCGGCCACACUGGGACUGAGACACGGCCCAGACUCCUACGGGAGGCAGCAGUGGGGAAUAUUGCACAAUGGGCGAAAGCCUGAUGCAGCGACGCCGCGUGAGGGAUGACGGCCUUCGGGUUGUAAACCUCUUUCAGCAGGGAAGAAGCGAAAGUGACGGUACCUGCAGAAGAAGCACCGGCUAACUACGUG
Molecule: ribosomal RNA, 468 nt
Filed under: uncultured bacterium
Lineage: Bacteria
Description: partial 16S ribosomal RNA
Rfam family: Bacterial small subunit ribosomal RNA
Source: RNAcentral